This 114-nucleotide non-coding RNA is filed under the name Carlito syrichta (Philippine tarsier). Lineage: Eukaryota; Metazoa; Chordata; Mammalia; Primates; Tarsiidae. The record is from RNAcentral.
GGCUAGUCUGAGUGCAAUGAAUGGUGUUUAUUGUGUUAACUGAUCACAAUUAGUUACAGAUUCCUUUGUUCCUCCACUCUCUCCACUCCCACUGCUUCACUUGAUCAGCUUUAA